RNAcentral lists this unclassified non-coding RNA (328 nucleotides) under soil metagenome. RNAcentral describes it as "partial contains 5.8S ribosomal RNA, internal transcribed spacer 2, and large subunit ribosomal RNA". The stretch from base 1 to 120 matches the Rfam family "5.8S ribosomal RNA", at positions 35 to 154 of the family's 154-position model. The record is from RNAcentral.
GAUGAAGAACGUAGCGAAAUGCGAUAAGUAAUGUGAAUUGCAGAAUUCAGUGAAUCAUCGAAUCUUUGAACGCACAUUGCGCCCCUUGGUAUUCCGAGGGGCAUGCCUGUUCGAGCGUCAUUAUAACCCUCAAGCUCAGCUUGGUGUUGGGGCCUGCUGCACUGGCAGCCCUUAAAAUCAGUGGCGGCGCCAUCUGGCUCUAAGCGUAGUAAUUCUUCUCGCUAUGGAGUCCUGGUGGAUGCUUGCCAUCAACCCCCAAUUUUUCUAUGGUUGAACUCGGAUCAGGUAGGGAUACCCGCUGAACUUAAGCAUAUCAAUAAGCGGAGGA